Molecule: long non-coding RNA, 944 nt
Filed under: Coffea arabica (coffee)
Lineage: Eukaryota; Viridiplantae; Streptophyta; Magnoliopsida; Gentianales; Rubiaceae
Description: long non-coding RNA (CARA_LNC004437)
Source: RNAcentral
AUUACUGCGACAGCAUAGCAAUUAAUCAAAUUUCUUGGUAUAAUCUAUCCUGCCUGGACCAAAUAGGAACGUAGCCAUGCAGAGCGUACGCGAAUCCAGGAACUGAGAUGACCAAGGAAGUAGGUACUAACUACUUGUACUAUUGUUUAAUCGAAAGCUAAUUUGUUUUAGCAGAUCAUAAAAAAGAAAGAAUCAAUAAAAGUGGAGGAAAUGAAAUAGAUCGGUUAACGCUAUCUCUCAGGGAGAAGCCAAUUCAAUAUUCAAUUGAAGUCAAAAGAAAAGGAGAGCCCCAUUAAUUGUCUUUUUUAUUCGUCUCACUAGUGUCAGGAUUGAGAGUGCUAGGAAAAUUCUAAGCCCAUAAUUGUCUUUUAUGUACUAACUACUUCCUAAUAUGUUUUGUCGGAGAACUCCAAAAGUGCUUCUCCUUGGGGGACAUGUACCACCUGACGAGUGAAGACGCUCAGACAAGCAUGAGCGGAGCCAGCCACAAAUGGAAAAGGCACGCAUUCACUCUCCAUCUUCGCUUGCAGUUCAGGCCUGAUCAGCUAAGUUGGCGAAUUUAAGCGUGCAAGUUGUCACUGAUUUGGUGUCAUUCCUGGGGUCAAUGCCAGGCUAUGACGAGGAAUGAUGAAGAUUAUGGGCCUUAUUAUCUCUGACAUCCCCACGUAAGAUUUGUUAAUCUACUUCUGUAGAGGGUAGACGACUUCUGGUUAAGAAAAGCGCACUCGAGCACCUUUGCAUUAACUGCUAGGGAAUUCUAUCCUACAACCUACACCGGUACACCUCAACAAUAAACUUAAAAAGUUCUUGUAUGUGCUCAAGUAACCUGAAGAAGUGUAUUUUUUUUUCUUUUUUUAAAUAAGAGACUUGAAUUCAAAAUUUUCUAAAAAGUUAGUAGUUAACUUGUUGUCUAUAUGCCCUUGUGGGGUUGCCAUUCCACAUCG